This 612-nucleotide long non-coding RNA is filed under the name Penaeus japonicus. RNAcentral describes it as "uncharacterized LOC122245215". Lineage: Eukaryota; Metazoa; Arthropoda; Malacostraca; Decapoda; Penaeidae. The record is from RNAcentral.
AAUCGGAAUUUUCUUUUAAGGUCAUGAAAGCCGCAGUCCCGGUUCGAAGAUUCACAUAGGCUUUGCUCCUCCACCGCCUCCUCCGAAGUCUUCCUACACCUCAGCCCCGUCGCCACCUUCUGCUAGUCCAGCACCUCCCCCUCCCCCUCCUCCACCCCUGCCUCCUCAUUCCGCUGGCCCAGUCGUUUUCCCGCCGCCGCCGCCGCCGCCGCCUCCUCCUCCACCGGUGCCGUCUGGGGGCCCUGCUCCUCCGCCACCGCCCCCUCUGCCCUUCGGGGGGCCCUCCUCCUCUGGCGACCCUCGCUCUGCUCUCUUGCAUCAGAUACAAGAAGGCAAGAACCUCAGGAAGGUAGACAGAAGUGCCGCCCCCGCGCCCCCGACUGACAGCCGCGGCCAGCUUUUGGAAGAUAUUAAGCUGGGCGUGAAGCUCCGCAAGGUGGAGACCGCCGAGGUGAAGGAGGCGGAUCCCAACGAGCCAGUGGGACUCAGCGGAAUGGCGCUGGACCUUCAUCGCGCGCUGCAGGAGAGGUCCAACGUCCUCGCCCUCUCGGACUCGGAGGGAUCCUUAGGGGACGAUGACGACGACGACGAUGACGACUGGGACGACGACUA